Sturnus vulgaris (Common starling) is the source of this 124-nucleotide non-coding RNA. The record is from RefSeq and is a predicted model, not a curated record. NCBI's taxonomy places the organism in Eukaryota, Metazoa, Chordata, Aves, Passeriformes, Sturnidae.
GUCACCACCCUGUGAAUAGAACUCACCAACACCUGACAUGAAGUUCCAGAGUUACACACUAAGCAGCAGAGAUUCUGAAGAAUAGAAAAGCUGAAACCCAAGGCAUCAGCUAUGAAGAAAACAA